Molecule: long non-coding RNA, 1592 nt
Organism: Nylanderia fulva
Lineage: Eukaryota; Metazoa; Arthropoda; Insecta; Hymenoptera; Formicidae
Source: RefSeq, a predicted model, not a curated record
UUAUUUUUUGUAUUUUUUUGUAUUUUAUAUACUUUUAUUAUUUCGGGUUUUUUAGAGGACAAAGCUUAAACUAGAGUUUUUGAGAGAUUACGGAAGGCGCCCGCGUGAUGAGGGAGUCGAGCGUCAAGCGUGGCGAUGAGGAUCCGCACAAAGCGGAGAACGCGAUAGCCAUGAUAAAUACAGAUGUGAGACAAAAGAAUCAAAAGAUAUACAAAAGUAUAGAGAGCAUGUCAGGGUAUAACACAGUGAGGAGAUAUAGGUACUUUUGCAUACUAGGGGGCAUUAGAGUUCCUCUAAUAAGAGUCGCGACAUCUUAUUAGAGGGACUCUAUGGGGCACCGGGCAGCAGCGCCCCUACAGAUCCGGCGCCCCGGGCAGUCGCCCCACUGCGCCCUACCCUAAAGCCGGUACUGUAUAUAUAUAUAUGUUAUAGGCCAGUAAAGUUAUUUUCAGUAAAGAUGAGCUUUUGACUAGUCAAAUGCUAUCUGCCAAGUGAAAUGGCUUUCGCCCGGAAAUAAAUUUGGAUAUUGUUCCGAAUGAGACACUUCGAGUUUAUAGCAGCUAUUUUGCGUAUUGCGUACUGUAAAUGGAUAAAACAAUAUAAAUAAUAUACAAUGUUCCAACCUCAUUGAAUGUUGCAAAUCCAUGUGGAACCUCGCCUUCGCGUGGAAAAAUGUAUAUGCGUGGCGUGGACAUAGUGGGGGUUCCGCUCCUUUGCGGCGGGUUCCACUAUAAAAAAAAACUAGAUACAUAGGUUUAGGCUAUCUCGCUUCGUGUAGAAAGUUUCAAACCUAUGUGAAAUCUCGCUUCGCGUGGAAAAGUAUAUGCUAAAUACUAUUUGCCUAACAACAGUUCAGUCAAAUAAUAUUUGACUAGGAAAGUAGCGUUUGAAAAAAGGCGAAAACCAUUUGACAUGGCAGAUAGCAUUUGACUAGUCAAAAGCUAUUUAUUAAAAAUAACCAUUGGUCUACGACAUAUAUGUAUAUACAUAUAUAGGAUAUCUCAUUUAAAUGCCGCAAGCAAAUAUCUCGAAAAAUAUAAAAGAUACAGAAAAAUGUUUCAAAUAAAAUUGUUUGAUUCAAAGAACAUAAGAUGAUACCACUGAUAUGACCUUGAAUAAUCAUUUGAUCACGUAAAGGUCACUUCAAUUUCUGAAAUGGAACCUAUUAUUUUUUAUUGCAUAUUCUUAUAGCUUAUCUUGAGAGCUUUCCAAAAUACUGCAAUAAAGUAUUUUUUUCUUAAGUACUGUUUGAGUUAUAAGGUUUCAGAUUUAAAUAUAUUGUAGGAAUUGAAAAUUAAGGAAAUACAUUAUUACUACAAACGAUCCAUGAACCAUGGCCUGCUAUCAUUUGCAAGCCGUUUUGUGAGAAUAUCACAACCAGUUUCCGUUACUAAAAGCGUAUUCUCAAAUUGUGCCGACCACUGACCAUCUAAUGUAACGGCUGUCCAAUUAUCAGGCCACGUUUCGUCCUUCCAAGUGCCUUGGGAUAUCAUCGGUUCGAUUGUGAAACAGUGUCCUGGUUUCAUAACACCCACUGCUUUGUUUUCUGUUAUAUAAAAAAAUAUGUGAAAUAAAAUUUAUAUAAUUUGAUA